AGCAGCCGCGGUAAUUCCAGCUCCAAUAGCGUAUAUUAAAGUUGCUGCAGUUAAAAAGCUCGUAGUUGAAUUUCGGGACUAAUAUGUCGGUCGUGCCUCGGUACGUACUGGCUUAUUGGUUUCUCCUUUCUGAAGAACCAUGAUGUCAUUUAUUUGGUGUCGUGGGGAAUCAGGACUGUUACUUUGAAAAAAUUUAGAGUGUUUAAAGCAGGCUCACGCUUGAAUACAUUAGCAUGGAAUAAUGAAAUAGGACGUUUGAUUCUAUUUUGUUGGUUUCUAGGAUCGACGUAAUGAUUAAUAGGGAUAGUUGGGGGCAUUAGUAUUCAAUUGUCAGAGGUGAAAUUCUUGGAUUUAUUGAAGACUAACUACUGCGAAAGCAUUUGCCAAGGAUGUUUUCAUUAAUCAAGAACGAAAGUUAGGGGAUCGAAGACGAUCAGAUACCGUCGUAGUCUUAACCAUAAACUAUGCCGACUAGGGAUCGGAUGAUGUUAAUUUUUUAAUGACUCAUUCGGCGCCUUAC
RNAcentral lists this unclassified non-coding RNA (520 nucleotides) under uncultured Glomus. Its description in RNAcentral is "SSU rRNA". It matches the Rfam family "Eukaryotic small subunit ribosomal RNA", at positions 569 to 1091 of the family's 1831-position model. Lineage: Eukaryota; Fungi; Glomeromycota; Glomeromycetes; Glomerales; Glomeraceae. The record is from RNAcentral.